GGGCCCGCACAAGCGGUGGAGUAUGUGGUUUAAUUCGAUGCAACGCGAAGAACCUUACCAGGGUUUGACAUCCUGCGAAUCUCUUGGAAACGAGAGAGUGCCUUCGGGAGCGCAGUGACAGGUGGUGCAUGGCUGUCGUCAGCUCGUGUCGUGAGAUGUUGGGUUAAGUCCCGCAACGAGCGCAACCCACGUCUUUAGUUGCCAGCAUUUAGUUGGGCACUUUAAGGAAACUGCCGGUGAUAAGCCGGAGGAAGGUGGGGAUGACGUCAAGUCCUCAUGGCCCUUACAGGCUGGGCUACACACGUGCUACAAUGGCGUUGACAGUGGGCAGCUAGACCGCGAGGUCAUGCUAAUCUCUAAAAGACGUCUCAGUUCGGAUUGUUCUCUGCAACUCGAGAGCAUGAAGGCGGAAUCGCUAGUAAUCG
This 425-nucleotide ribosomal RNA is filed under the name uncultured bacterium. RNAcentral's name for it is "bacterial SSU rRNA". It matches the Rfam family "Bacterial small subunit ribosomal RNA", at positions 917 to 1344 of the family's 1533-position model. The record is from RNAcentral.